This 72-nucleotide transfer RNA is filed under the name Clunio marinus. It matches the Rfam family "tRNA". Rfam says of the family: Transfer RNA (tRNA) molecules are approximately 80 nucleotides in length. Their secondary structure includes four short double-helical elements and three loops (D, anti-codon, and T loops). Lineage: Eukaryota; Metazoa; Arthropoda; Insecta; Diptera; Chironomidae. The record is from Rfam by way of RNAcentral.
GCCUCUAUGGCUUAGUGGUAGAGCGUCGGUCUUGUAAACCGAAGGUCGUGAGUUCAAUUCUCACUGGGGGCA